CCGCAGCCCAAGCCCUGACACAAGACCCGCCGGCUGCCGGCCCUGCGCAUAAGGGGGUGAGGGCCGGCACGAUGGCCGGCGUCUUAUUGAGGUGAUUCUAGCAGCUGCAGAUGCGGGCCUGCAAAAUCCUGGAGACCCAUGCCCGCAGCUCCUGGGUUCCCGAGGGGAAAUCGGGAGUCCCUUCGCCUCCAGCUGAUGCAAGCCCACCGGACUCUACGACCACGGCCCAGCGGCCCUCCCGCACGCGUUACCGCCCAGGCACCUCGCACUUGUUUGAAAAAAGAAGUGAGAGAGCCCCCUCGCCGCCCAGCGCCUGGGGGAUCUGCGGCCCACCCGACCUUGUGUUGGUGAGAAAGUUCCAUCUAGAGGCGGCCGCGCGCAACUGCAGCCCGCGCCCCAGGCCCGACCUCCUGCCCUGGCCGCCGAGUGAGCCCAGGACAGAGCGUCUCCUCUCCCCACUGUCCAGACCGCGUAGGAACGUGGAGGAGAAAGGAACCGCCAGUGGAAGAUGGGGAGGAUGGAGGAGGGGAGGACAGGCCCGGUGCAAGGCAGGCCCUCUCUCCCCAGUCGGCAUCUCUGCAAUGAAUUACACCUUUCAAAGCAUCAUGAACUUCGUAAGCAUGAUGACAGGUUUCAACAGUACAUGAACCAAGAACUUCCAGAUGUUCAAGCUGAAUUUAGAAAAGACAGAGGAACCAGAGAGGAAAUUGCCAACAUCCAUUGGAUCAUAGAAAACGCAAGAGAGUUCCAGAAAAACAUCUACUUCUGCUUUAUUGAUUAUGCCAAAGCCUUUGACUAUGCAGAUCACAACAAACUGUGGAAAAUUCUGAAAGAGAUGGGAAUACCAGAACAUUUUACCUAUCCUCCUACAAAACCUGUAUGCAGGUCAAGAAGCAACAGUUAGAACUGGACAUGGAACAACAGACUGGUUCCAAAUAGGAAAAGUAGUAUGUCAAGGCUGUAUAUUGUCACCCUGCUUAUUUAACUUAUAUGCAGAGUACCUCAUGCAAAAUGUGGGCUGGAUGAAGCACAAGUGGGAAUCAAGAUUUCUGGGAGAAAUAUCAAUAACUUCAGAUAUGCAGAUAACACCACUCUUACAGCAGAAAACGAA
Bos taurus (domestic cattle) is the source of this 1111-nucleotide long non-coding RNA. NCBI's taxonomy places the organism in Eukaryota, Metazoa, Chordata, Mammalia, Artiodactyla, Bovidae. The record is from Ensembl.